RNAcentral lists this ribosomal RNA (467 nucleotides) under uncultured bacterium. RNAcentral's name for it is "partial 16S ribosomal RNA". It matches the Rfam family "Bacterial small subunit ribosomal RNA", at positions 28 to 507 of the family's 1533-position model. The record is from RNAcentral.
GACGAACGCUGGCGGCGUGCUUAACACAUGCAAGUCGAACGGAAAGGCCUCUUUCGGGGGGUACUCGAGUGGCGAACGGGUGAGUAACACGUGAGUAACCUGCCCUUGACUUUGGGAUAACUUCAGGAAACUGGGGCUAAUACCGGAUAGGAGCUCCUGCUGCAUGGUGGGGGUUGGAAAGUUUCGGCGGUUGGGGAUGGACUCGCGGCUUAUCAGCUUGUUGGUGGGGUAGUGGCUUACCAGGGCUUUGACGGGUAGCCGGCCUGAGAGGGUGACCGGCCACAUUGGGACUGAGAUACGGCCCAGACUCCUACGGGAGGCAGCAGUGGGGAAUAUUGCACAAUGGGUGGAAGCCGGAUGCAGCAACGCCGUGUGCGGGAUGACGGCCUUCGGGUUGUAAACCGCUUUCGCUCAUGACGAAGCUUUGUGUGACGGUAGUGGGUAAAGAAGCACCGGCUAACUACGUG